CCUACGGGAGGCAGCAGUGAGGAAUAUUGGUCAAUGGCCGGAAGGCUGAACCAGCCAAGCCGCGUGCGGGAGGAAGGUGCAGAGCGUCGCAGACCUCUUUUGCCGGGGGACAAAAGUCCGGACGGGUCCGGUUCUGAGGGUACCCGGCGAAAAAGCAUCGGCGAACGCCGUGCCAGCAGCCGCGGUAAUACGGGGGAUGCGACCGUUAUCCGGAUUCAUUGGGUUUAAAGGGUGCGUAGGCGGGCCUUUAAGUCGGCGGUGAAAUCGCGGGGCUCAACCCCGCCGCGCCGUGGGAACUGGGGGCCUAGAGUGCGGCGGAGGCAUGCGGAAUGCGCGGUGGAGCGGUGAAAUGCAUAGAUAUCGGGCAGAACCCCGAUUGCGAAGGCAGCGUACCGUGCCGCCACUGACGCUGAGGGACGAAAGCGCGGGGAUUGAACAGGAUUAGAUACCCCGGUAGUC
RNAcentral lists this ribosomal RNA (459 nucleotides) under uncultured bacterium. Its description in RNAcentral is "partial 16S ribosomal RNA". It matches the Rfam family "Bacterial small subunit ribosomal RNA", at positions 338 to 795 of the family's 1533-position model. The record is from RNAcentral.